CGGGGAGUAACUCAGACUGGUAGAGUGCCAGCUUUGGGAGCUGGAGGCCGCAGGUUCAAAUCCUGUCUCCCCGA
This 74-nucleotide transfer RNA is filed under the name Deltaproteobacteria bacterium. RNAcentral's name for it is "tRNA-Pro". It matches the Rfam family "tRNA". Rfam says of the family: Transfer RNA (tRNA) molecules are approximately 80 nucleotides in length. The record is from RNAcentral. Lineage: Bacteria; Pseudomonadati; Myxococcota; Myxococcia.